This 274-nucleotide ribosomal RNA is filed under the name uncultured bacterium. RNAcentral's name for it is "partial 16S ribosomal RNA". It matches the Rfam family "Bacterial small subunit ribosomal RNA", at positions 523 to 796 of the family's 1533-position model. The record is from RNAcentral.
CUACGGAGGGUGCAAGCGUUAAGCGGAAUUACUGGGCGUAAAGCGCGCGUAGGCGGUUUGGUAAGUCGGAUGUGAAAGCCCCGGGCUCAACCUGGGAAUUGCAUUCGAUACUGCCAGACUAGAGUAUGGUAGAGGGAAGUGGAAUUCCGGGUGUAGCGGUGAAAUGCGUAGAUAUCCGGAGGAACACCAGUGGCGAAGGCGACUUCCUGGACCAAUACUGACGCUGAGGUGCGAAAGCGUGGGGAGCAAACAGGAUUAGAAACCCUAGUAGUCC